UACGGGGGGGGCAAGCGUUGUUCGGAAUUACUGGGCGUAAAGGGCUUGUAGGUGGCCAACUAAGUCAGACGUGAAAUCCCUCGGCUUAACCGGGGAACUGCGUCUGAUACUGGAUGGCUAGAGUCUGGUAGGGGGAUCUGGAAUUCCUGGUGUAGCGGUGAAAUGCGUAGAUAUUGGGAAGAACACCGGUGGCGAAAGCGCCUUGCUGGACCUGCACUGACACUGAGGGACGAAAGCUAGGGGAGCGAAAGGG
Molecule: ribosomal RNA, 253 nt
Filed under: uncultured bacterium
Lineage: Bacteria
Description: partial 16S ribosomal RNA
Rfam family: Bacterial small subunit ribosomal RNA
Source: RNAcentral